RNAcentral lists this ribosomal RNA (253 nucleotides) under uncultured bacterium. Its description in RNAcentral is "partial 16S ribosomal RNA". It matches the Rfam family "Bacterial small subunit ribosomal RNA", at positions 524 to 776 of the family's 1533-position model. The record is from RNAcentral.
UACGGAGGGGGCUAGCGUUGUUCGGAAUUACUGGGAGUAAAGCGCGCGUAGGCGGGCUGUUAAGUCGGGGGUGAAAUCCCGGGGCUCAACCCCGGAACUGCCUUCGAUACUGGCAGCCUAGAGGACGGAAGAGGUCAGUGGAAUGGCGAGUGUAGAGGUGAAAUUCGUAGAUAUUCGCCGGAACACCAGUGGCGAAGGCGACUGACUGGUCCGUUUCUGACGCUGAGGUGCGAAAGCGUGGGGAGCCAACAGG